AUCGCUUCGUGGCCUUUUGGCUAAGAUCAUGUGUAAUAUCUGUUCUUUUCAGCUUAAUAUCUGAAACGCUGCUCAUUGAGUAGCCUCGAAUAUUAAACUGAUUUUUAGAAUUAGGCCAUGGAAUAGGAGCUUACUCCGUCCUGGCCACGGUUUUUUUUUUAUCAUAUUUAAUUAACGUUUAUUCAAU
This is a small nuclear RNA of Anneissia japonica, 187 nucleotides long. RefSeq annotates it as U2 spliceosomal RNA. Lineage: Eukaryota; Metazoa; Echinodermata; Crinoidea; Comatulida; Comatulidae. The record is from RefSeq and is a predicted model, not a curated record. The transcript has a single exon.